This 58-nucleotide microRNA precursor is filed under the name Panthera tigris altaica (Amur tiger). RNAcentral describes it as "miRNA (ENSPTIG00000001783.1)". Lineage: Eukaryota; Metazoa; Chordata; Mammalia; Carnivora; Felidae. The record is from RNAcentral.
AAGGAGUGGACCGAGGAAGGAAGGAAGGCGUGGCUCUCCGUCCGUCUCUCCGUCUGUC